UAAGGGUAGGGCACUGACGGUCUUUUCCCGGCAACGGGAAAAGCUAAGAGGGAACACGGUUCCACCCCAUACCGGGUCAUUCCGUGGCUGCCCCCGCAACUGUAAGCGGUAAGCCCGCACUGUGAAGCCACUGGACCAUAAAAUUGGUCCGGGAAGGUGGUGCAGGGUGUUUUAAAGCCGCAAGCCAGGAGACCUGCCGUUCAGGAAAAAACGUCU
RNAcentral lists this non-coding RNA (216 nucleotides) under Agrobacterium fabacearum CFBP 5771. Lineage: Bacteria; Pseudomonadati; Pseudomonadota; Alphaproteobacteria; Hyphomicrobiales; Rhizobiaceae. The record is from RNAcentral.